UACGUAGGGUGCAAGCGUUGUCCGGAAUUAUUGGGCGUAAAGAGCUCGUAGGCGGUUUGUCGCGUCUGCUGUGAAAACUCGGGGCUCAACUCCGAGCUUGCAGUGGGUACGGGCAGACUAGAGUGCGGUAGGGGAGACUGGAAUUCCUGGUGUAGCGGUGGAAUGCGCAGAUAUCAGGAGGAACACCGGUGGCGAAGGCGGGUCUCUGGGCCGUAACUGACGCUGAGACGCGAAAGCGUGGGGAGCGAACAGG
RNAcentral lists this ribosomal RNA (253 nucleotides) under uncultured bacterium. Its description in RNAcentral is "partial 16S ribosomal RNA". It matches the Rfam family "Bacterial small subunit ribosomal RNA", at positions 524 to 776 of the family's 1533-position model. The record is from RNAcentral.